UGCCCAGGUAUAUAGCAAAGUCUUUUUUCUUAGCUCAGUGUUGAGUUUACUUCUUUCUCUUAGCUAGUCGAGAGCGACUUUCUCUGGAGAUUGCACGACCUUCAAGGGGUAGAAGACCAGCUGCAGGACGGAUUGGCUUUCGCUCCCAAUGAUUUCUACUCUUACUUCAAGCACAGACAGCAUGCGUUUCACGUUGAUGAAAUCCCCGGUAUGAAGCUGGUAAUUUAGUAGAGUUCUCUUACAAGUUACCAAAACCCGUGGCGCUGCAGCUUUCCGAGCCGUUUGAGGCCUUCGUUCUUGACUUCUAUAGAGCUCCAGAUGUGCGUGGAGAAUUUAAUCAAGCCGUGCAUGUCAACUUCUCUGGGACUGCUCACGCAAUAGUUUCAUGGUACGAAACUUGCUCGGAUUCGCUACUUCUUGGUUCGCUUUCUUCUCUGCUUGAACUUGACAAGGUGGGUGCUGCAGCUUGACAAAGAUGGCCUGGUUUGCUACUCAACUGCUCCUCGUUGGAUCAGAGGUUUGUUUUCCUGUUCGAUUCUUUGAGUAACUCCGCAGAUUUGUGUUCUCAGGGGCAAGCGAGUGGUGUGACCAUUGGAAACAAUGUGUGUGGUUUCUUCCUGGACAAGGUGUUUCGGUGGAGGAGCAGUCGGAGCUUCGCGUCGUAGUCAGCCAUGAUGAAGCGUCAGUGCGGUAUGACAUCAAUGGUGGUGUAUGCUGUAAUAGUUCAGCGUCUGGUUUCGAGCUGAGCCUACAAAGGUGUCGCAUGCUUGGUGACGGUAGCAGGCGUUCUAUCAUACAGUCUGCCAUUCAGAAAGCUGUAAGUGUGUUUUGAAUCUGUGAGUACGAUUGUUUCUUUUUCUUUCUGUCCAGCUUGGAGAACGAGAACUUGGAAACUGUCUCAUUCGGGAUGACGGCCUGAUGAGCGCCGUGUGUGCUCUAUCUACAGCGCAUGGAUCCUGCCAUGUGGCUGGCUUGUUUCCAGGCUGUAGAAGAGAUGGCUUGAAGUACUUGGAGAGCGUCGCGAGCAAGCUGUCUAUUAUACACAAAGACGGCAAGCAUCUCACUGGGGACGAUUUCAAGGGGCAUAAAGUAUACAGUCUUGCAACUCCAUUGGAUAUGGACGGGUUUCUUUCUUUUCGCGACAGGUGGAUGUUCUUCUAGGGGAGCCUUAUUACGCCACGUACGAGCAUGCGUUGCCGUGGAAGCAGCUUCGGUUUUGGUUCGUUUUCGUUUCGUUUUCUAAAGAGUUGGAAGUUGUUUUAAAGCAGUGAGAAUCCAGGUACGAGAGAACGACGCUAAGUCCGUUGCUAUCAGAGAACCCUAUUAUAGUUCCCUGCUUUGGAAUUCUCUAUGGGAUGGCUUGUCAUCUUCCUGUAAGUUGAUUAUUUUCUCUGCAGUGACUUUGGUUUCAUGUUGGCUAAAUCAGGAUUUGUGGCAAAGCCGCUGUCGCCUUGAAGAAGUCGAUGGCUUUGAUCACAGGUCAUUGACAAAACCGUUUUCGCUGCUCGAGUUCAACAUGCGUCAGGAAGAGUCUAAGUGGAUUUGCAAAGGUUAUUCAAUUCUGUCCUCUUUGGUACCACUUAAUGUUUUCUGCUACUUUUGCACAGGUUAGCGUUGUAAAGACUGGGCUCUGCCAUGGAGUUGUCCUGUGGAUGGACUGGGUGAUGGAUCCCGAGAACAAGGAUUUGGUACUUAGCAAUCCAACACACCUCAAAUUGGGAACAAGCAAAGCUUUUGAUUGCAAGGUAUGCAUACAAUGCCUCUCUAUAGUGGAGUCUCUGAAGUUUCUAGAUCUAUAGUAGAUUUGAGAGCCUAGGAUUGUUUACUUCAGUCUUGAGAACAAUGGAUUAUAGCAAGCAGCCUUAUUCAUUCAUAAUAGUAAUGCCCAUAACUAGUUUCAGCAACUAGACUAGACAGGCAGAGCGAUACCCCCUGCAGCGCAGAGAUCAGCUCCGGUGUUGCGAUCGUAGAGACUGCAGCCCUCUUUCAUGUCCUCGCAGCUGCGGCGUGCAUUCCUGCAAGACUGCAGGGUGGUGCCCUGAAAAGUUACAGACUUGGCACAAAUGGACACUCUGGGCAGGCAAACGAGGGCGCAAACCCCCAUGGGGUCUUCAGUAGGCAGGCAGGUGCUGUUUGCGGAUGGAUUCUCCAAGUAGAUGCAACCGGAUUUCCCGAAGCAGCAACCACAGUUAUCUUUGGAGACCUCGGCAUUGCAGACCUCCACAAUCGAAUCAAGCUUACACUUCCUUCCUGCCAUGAGCUCUAUCGGAGAGGGCUGAGCUUCCUGAACAUAAUGAACAAGGCGGUUACCUUGAUCUGUGCCCUGCUGCUCCAGCCGCGGGAUGGGGUCACCGUUAACGAUGUUGUAGUAACCGCAUCCAGGUUGUCGGGGUGGGAGUUUUCCCUUGAGCACCUUGAUGCCUGAUGUUGGGAAUCCUGAUGAAGGCAAUGGGCAUACGGCCAACUUCGGACCUUGGCACUCCCGGGUACAAGCCCUUGAAUCACCGCCAAUGCAAGUGACUUGUCCUGAACCAGGUUGCAGAUAGACACAACCUUUCUUCAGACUACAGCAGUUGCUGCAAUCGGUAUAGGUGAGGUCACCAUUGCAAACCUCGACGACACCACCUUGAGCAGCUGCAAGAACAGGAGUCCGAGUUAGAAUCGAACAUACAAGUGGAGAUCUCUCUCACAGGAUAACGAGGCCAACAGAAGAAGAACGAGCACGGGGAGAUUGCCGCUUCCAGCCAUACUUCUCUAUUGCAGAUCUGAUGGGCUUUUGAAGUCCAGCAUUGGUGCUUUAGAAAUGUUCAAAACGUGUGUCCUUGACACAAUGGAUAUCUUAAUGCAGUAAGAUAAGCCCUCUCACCACGGAUGUGACGGGCGAGCUGAAUGUCCUUUGGCAAUGCCAAAGGACAUCUAAUGCCAAAUUGGCAUUAGAUAGUGGCUUGCUUUGCGAAGAUUCACCGGUAAAAUGCGGGAACAAUGCCCAGUCUCAGCACAAAAACAAAUAUCAGCUCCAGUGUUGCAAACGUAGAGAUUGCAGCCCUUGAUAGAAUGAGCGGACCGAAGCUGGAGAGCCUAGGCCUGAAAAACGAUCAGGCACGGUUGCAAGGGUGCAGGGUAACAAGUUGCAUACGGUGGCAAUUUAUUUUGGAAAAAUGCUCGUCUCGACCAUUUUGAUUUUUUAUAUUCAUUUUCUGUUGUCACAUAUAUUGUCUGUAUUGAAAACAUAUAUGCCACUAGCAACCCUUGUACCAGGGGUGCUACCCCGAUCGAUUUUUUGCUCUUAGGUAGGGAAAGCUGGAUUACUCCUGUGUUGAGAGCUCAUAAAAUAGAGUAAAUGGCAGCAUCUGUUAGAACUAAGCUGAACAUGCACACAACCAAGGCAGGUAGCUCACUGGUAGAGCACCUGGCACCGGUGUAGGAGGUCCUGCCUGUCCAGCCAUUUUCCAACGGCAUCCAUCCCUCCAGCUGGCUGAAAGUUUGGAUCCCAGGACCAUUUUGCACUAACAAUGCAAACUUUAAUUGAACCAGGCCAUGGGGAAGAGUCAACCAUUGAACCCAAGCAUGAUCAAUAACAAGGACUCGACGCAAAGAGUUUCUUCAAUUCUCAUAUUGGUGUUGGUACAGUGGUUCACAUUGAGUUGGUAGCUUCCCAGACAACUUGUUUGGUUGCUGCUAAAGUUCCUUGAUGGAACACUGCCUUCAAACCUGUUGUUGGUCGCAUUGGAGCUGAAAUUUUUGGAAGGCUCACCCGAGAAGAUGGCCUCCCAGUUUGUUGGAGUUUAACAGAAGUAUGCUCGGAAAGCUGAGAGGAAUGCUGCCUUGUAGGUGACUAAUAUCUGCCGAAUCUCAGGAGAGCUGAACAAGCUAGAAGCAGUUAGAGAGUUCCUAAUCCCUGCAAGCUGGAAUAGUUGGUUUAUGAAUAUCUAUCAAAUCCAUCAAAUCCAAUGCACCUUCACUGAAAAUGUCAACACAGUGAGCCAUUUCCUCCAAACACAGUAGGUGUAAUGGGACCAAUGUCGUACUUGGCACUGUCCAUAAACCAUGGCUACAACAAAAUAGCAAUCGUUGGCAUUGCUUUGGCUUGUACAUGUGAUCUGAAAUAUGUCCUGCCAGCCCACGAGAGAACGAGCUUUUUAAAUGCUUGAAAACGUUUACUGUUUGGAACGUACAUAGGAUGAAGUUAUCGCCUCUGACGGUGAAUCCAAAGCCCUCUCUCCAGAUUGUCGCGAGUUUUACAAGUUCCCAGCAAGACACAACCUCACUGGCUGGACGAAUCCAGAGCAUGGCCCGUGGUGAUUCGGCCUCUUUUGUUUUGCGUGGUUUACUCCCAAAGCCGGAGAUCAACUUUCAUGCUGGGAUGCUGGCCGGUGUAACCUUGGGGACGGUGUCUGGUGACGAGUUAUUGCAGGGGCCGAGCCUGACCGAAUCAACUGGUAAGCUAGAAGUUUUUUUCGUAUUUACGUAUUCGCUGACUGAUACUUUAUUCCAGCGGCUUCGACAUGGUCCGUAGCCAACGCCACGGCAUUUGGACAGUGGAUACAGAGCAGAGGCUCCAUCUCUCCCGUUGCAUCCGGCUACGUCAUCUCCGGCCCGACCACAGCUCUACGAGCCGAGGUUGUUCAUGUUUCCAUGGAGGAGGAAUGGCCGAGGACGCUCCAGAACGGUCUCGUAGCACACUUCGGCUCCUCCAAGGCUCGAGACAGGAGAUGCAAGGGAUGCGUCUGGGUGGGAAUGGCUUGUGUGACAACGCCGGUAGUAGCAGCAGUGUGGGCACAGGAAAGCCAGGGAGCAGCAGCGGCAUCAAGCUGCAAAUCCGCUACGUUCUAGAGCAACUUGGAGCGGAAUUUUAUGGCCUCUCGUGGCUGACCAUCAGUCCCAUGUAUCUCCACCGGCAUCCAGUGCUGCCUUACCACUGCGGCGUAGUGCUGCGGCUGGAGAAGCUACUGGAUUACCCGGAGGCACCACCACCGCCGCCGCCGCCGCCGCCGUUAUGAUUAUGUACAUACGAUGUUUAAAACGACAGUAUAAAUAUACGUAUUCUUAUUAAGCAAAGGGAAGAUUAAAAAAAAAAGAGUUUAGCCUUUGUUCAUUAACCAUCUCUUCUUUGUUGAGCAUACAAUGGCGGACUCAAGGGGCUCUUUUCCAGACGUAUCACGCUAAACCGGUUAAAGACCGAUCGAUGCUUAACCUCACAACAAUGCACAGCCAUAUUUCUUGCUGAUAUCGGUUCUAAGCCAAGGCGCAUUGGCCAAUGUCGCAUUGCUGGAUUCCUACCACUUUCGAUGAAACUGCAUUCUCUCUCGAUCAGCCAAAACACCAAGCUAUCUUUUAAAAUAAAAUAAUAGAAAUUAUAAGAACUAAAUUUCAGAGGAUACCCAACAAAGUCACGCUAGGAGUAAUAUAAUUGUUGAUAAUCUUGGAAGAAACCUCAUAAAAAUGUUAAACCAUCAAAAGAUAAAUGUGCACUUGGAUUAUCACAUAGUGUACCAUUUUGUGUUCCGCAUCCACAUAAUAUUGGAUUGUUGCAAUGGAAAUCAUCUCCUGGUGCACUGCAACAAGCCACUUUAUAAGUUUUAAAUCCAUAUUGAUCCAUAUUUCAUAAGCUCAGUGCGUGCAGAGAACCAAUCAAAAUAGUAUAGUUCAAUAUCAUCGUUCUGAUUUUUAAUAUCAUUCACGAUAUCCAAAAUAGCUUAAUAAUAUUUGUAAGCUCAAUAACAUAGUCUGCUACCACUGAAGCAAAGGCACUACCUUCCUCGCCUCACAUUUCCAGUAUGGCUGCAAGCCACCAGACCCAAAACAAAGCACGUCAAGUCCGGGAGGUGGAGUGUCUUUAGAGAACCAAACAGUUCCAAUGCCUCAAAUGAGCUAGGGCUACCAGCAUCCCGGCAUAUGAAACCAUGUCAGGCACGGGAAUCAGGGCCAGCAGCUUCAAAUCUCUGCCCAGAUGCCCAUUACCGGCAUAUGCUGUCAGCACAGUAUUCCACGUGGCAGAUUCGUGUUGGGGGAGACUUACAAACAUUCUUAUGGCCUUGGUCAGAUGCCCAUGCUGAGAAUAUGCCGAGAGCAUUGUGUUGAAGGAUAGGAGGCCUUGCUCUGGCACGGGGUUGAAGUUGUGCUGUAUCUCCUCGAUUCCGUACGCCACACUUGCUUUUCAAGAGCAGCAUUGUGGUCCAUGACACAAGAUCCCUCUGUGGCAUUUUCUCAAACACGCACGUUGACUGCUCUAUGCAACUGUGACUGGCAUAUGCCGCAAACAUUGAGUUCCAGGAGACAAUGUCCCUAAAAACAUGGUUGUUGUGCAUGAAACCAGGCUUCUUUCUGGCAUCUCUUCUAGGAAGUUUGUAGAUUCCUCUACACGACCGGCACGGGCAUACGCUGCCAGCAUGCCAUUCCACGUCGCCACAUCAAAGGAAUACUGCCAAACAGCUGCUGGGAGAGAUCCAGCCGUCCAUUCUCGGAGCAUGCCGCAGACUCGAACAUCUUGACGCACUCUUGCAUAUGCCCAGUCCGGGCAUAUCCCGCCAAGGGCACAUUCCAAGGCAUGACGCUCUUGUGGGGCAAAGAUUCUCUGGGCUUCCUCCAAAACCCCGUUCAGUACGUAGGCAUUGAGCAGGAGAUCCCAGGAGAAGGAAUCUUUUCUGGGGAGCGAGUCAAACACGCGGCGGGCAUUAGAGACAGUAGAGCACCUCCCGUACAUCUGGAUGAGCUUGUUGCAAAGGAAGAUAUCGCCGCUAGUGAUGGAUUGGAUCCUGGAGUGAGCUUGGAGAGCUUGAGAUGGAGUUGCACAGCAUUGGAUGAGCUCCAAGCACCCAGUCAUUCUUUCAUUCUUUGUGAGUUUAGGGUUUUAGAAGGAAGCAAUGCUCCAGCAGCGGGUGAAUGCGCUCACGGGGGAGAGCGAAUGGAUUCUCGUUGGCGAUGGAGGCGACGGCGGCGAUGCGAGCGAUCCCCUGGCAGAGAGCUCGUAUCUUGACAUGCUGAAUGAUCGCGCCAGGAACAGGGCAUUCUCUUCAGCAAUCGCGAAGGUCGGCCGCCAUGGCCAUGUCCUGGACAUUGGGUGAGGCUAGAGAGAUCCUUCUUUCGUUUCCUGAGCUCGUUCUUGACAGUGCUCAUGGCUUGGCGGGCAAUGGAAGAGCAGUGCCAGGUGACUGCUUGCGAAUCUUUUCUUCCAAUGUACAAGCUGGCUCGCAAAGUUUGCCGAGACAAUGGGACGAUGGGAGCGAUCAAGCUGCUCCAUAUGCGCUCGGAUGAGAUCAAAGUCGGGGUGGACAUCUCUAGCAAAGCCGAUGCAUUGGUACGCUAAGUCUGUACACAUUCUUCUUCUUCGUUUCCUCUGGACUCUUUGUCUCUCCAGGUGUGUGAGAUUUUAGACUCGGAGUUGCUUGGAGAAGGGAUCAUUCCAAGUCCAAGGCACGCUCAUGAGCAUUUACUCCGGCCUAAUGCUGCCACAGUGCCAUAUCGAGCUACUGUGUAUGCCCAGGUAUAUAGCAAAGUCUUUUUUCUUAGCUCAGUGUUGAGUUUACUUCUUUCUCUUAGCUAGUCGAGAGCGACUUUCUCUGGAGAUUGCACGACCUUCAAGGGGUAGAAGACCAGCUGCAGGACGGAUUGGCUUUCGCUCCCAAUGAUUUCUACUCUUACUUCAAGCACAGACAGCAUGCGUUUCACGUUGAUGAAAUCCCCGGUAUGAAGCUGGUAAUUUAGUAGAGUUCUCUUACAAGUUACCAAAACCCGUGGC
RNAcentral lists this long non-coding RNA (7738 nucleotides) under Selaginella moellendorffii. RNAcentral's name for it is "long non-coding RNA (SMOE_LNC001794)". Lineage: Eukaryota; Viridiplantae; Streptophyta; Lycopodiopsida; Selaginellales; Selaginellaceae. The record is from RNAcentral.